UAUAGGGAGACCUACCUGUUGAAUUUUGAAAGCGAAUCGGCAACGAUAAGUGAGUAAUAAAACGACUGGUCAUCCCAAAGGUCGUUCGGAUAUUAGAUGUUGACUUUCAAAGCUAUAUUGGUUCGGGUUCAUAUGGGCUAUUAGCUCAGCUGGUUAGAGCGCACCCCUGAUAAGGGUGAGGUCCCUGGUUCGAGUCCAGGAUGGCCCACUCGAAUCUGAGAGAGGGGGUUUAGCUCAGUUGGUAGAGCGCCUGCUUUGCAAGCAGGAUGUCAGCGGUUCGAGUCCGUUAACCUCCACUGAUUUGAGAUAGAGAUAUCAGCAACUUAUCUAUUGUCUCUAAUGAUACUAGAGAGCCUGCUGGGAUUAGUCUCAGUGAGAACCUUGAAAACUGCAUAGAAACUUGUCAGGUAGUCGUUGAUUAGGACUUUGAUUAGCCCCUAAUUGACGAAAAUAUCACAGACACCAAUGUAAGUUUGCGAAGAUUAAAGUGGUCAAGCUACAAAGGGCUGAU
RNAcentral lists this transfer RNA (511 nucleotides) under Timaviella sp. WMT-WP7-NPA. RNAcentral's name for it is "16S-23S ribosomal RNA intergenic spacer". The stretch from base 224 to 296 matches the Rfam family "tRNA". Lineage: Bacteria; Bacillati; Cyanobacteriota; Cyanophyceae; Oculatellales; Oculatellaceae. The record is from RNAcentral.